GCCUCUGCAGCUCAGUUGGUUAGAGUGCUGCACCGGAAUCGCAGGGCCAUUGGUACAAUUCCUACCAGAGUGCA
Molecule: non-coding RNA, 74 nt
Organism: Paramuricea clavata
Lineage: Eukaryota; Metazoa; Cnidaria; Anthozoa; Malacalcyonacea; Plexauridae
Source: the annotation of a GenBank genome assembly